CAAAGGGGCGCCGCGCCCGGCCCCUGACCCCCAGUCCCGGCCCUACAGCGCCGGUGGUGCGCCCUGGCGCCUAGACGUGGCGGACUCACGGCCCCUCGCGGGCCGGGCCGCUGCGUCCCGCCCCGCGUCCGUCCUGCCGGGACCGGGCCGGCCUCCUGGCGGUCGCGUGGCCUUGUCCCCUCUGGGCCCCCCGUGGCCUGGCCGUUGUCCCCGUUCCCCGACCUGGACGCGCCGGCGUGUGGAGCCGCCGUGGGUGGGCUCCCGGGGCGAGGCCGGGCGCGGACUGCGGCGCGGGGCUGCGUGUCUGCGGGCGCCGAGCUCCGGCCCUGCGCCCCGGGCGCGUUUGCUGGCCGCGUGCUGCCGCGGAUGCCGGGCUCCUCCCUCGCCGCUGCUCAUUCAGGCGGUUUUGGGGGCGCUUAGCUUUAUGGCACGCUUCGUGCUGCCCUUUGAAGUUGUUUACUCAUUUUCUAAACGGGAAUAAAAUUAGAGCGCCCAGCUGGUGGGGAGGGCGGCUCUUCCUUCCCUGGGUGGCCCUCAGCCAGCAGCCUGGGGCGCGGGCUUCCCCAACCGAGCAGCCUGCGCGCUGCACUCACUCCUCUGAUCCAGUCUGUUCCACCGGAGUACGUCAAGAGGUGUGGACCCCAUUCAGUUUGUCAUAGGCACCUCUUUUCCCCUUUGCGCUUAUAAAGGUGUCAGAAACCAGGAUCCUAGCAGGUGCUCUAGACAACCCAGCAGGGCCUUGCCCCCCCCAUUUUUCCCACUGGGGACCCUGGGGCUGGGGCUGUAGGGGAGCAGGCCAGCUUGGGGACACUCCUGGGUGGGUGCUGGUUUGGUCGCCGUCUCAGUGCCUGGUGCCCCCCUGUUGAACCCAAGUGUAGGGGGCCAUCUUGCAGUUCCCGGUCAACUUCAGCCUUCAGCCGCCAGGGCCUGGGGCCUCCUCUGGAGUGGGUCCAGCAGGGGAGGGGCCAGGCUGGGUGGGCCAGGGAGCUGCCCCUCCUCCUCCCCUCUGCCGUUGGAACCUUGGGGGCACUGGCUCCCUGAGGCCUGUGGGAGAGAGGCUACAACCACACCUGAGCCAGGAGUUGGAGGCUAGAUCUUUCUGUGGCUGGGUGCCCUGCCCGGCCCUCUGCCUGUGCGCGGAGAAAUGAGGGCACCACCUCUGGGCAUGCCCGGAAGGACAGCCUUGAAGCUGGCAGCGGCUUAAGCCGGGAACCUGGCCAGCGGCCAGACCCCUUUAUAGUGAUCAUUUUCCUCGUGCUUUGUUUAGGACAGAUUAACCUCUGGUUGGGGGAGGGGGGACCACUUGUCACCCAGAAGUGGAACAAGAUUGGCUUUCUCUGGUUAGUCUGAAUAGAGCAGUCAGAGGUGAAAUCCUCACCCAACUCCCACUUCUGGGGGUGGCUGGAGAAUUAGGUCGCAAAUGGGGGGAUGGCCACAUCCCCUUUUCCUACCUGGUUUCCCCUUUUCCAGGAUCCGCCCUCUUCUUCAAGAGCAGCGACUUCAUUUGUAUAAAAAUGUACACCAAAGAGUGCUCUGUAGCUGCUGGCCUCCAGCAUGGCCGACAUUUGAGGCACAGGGAGCGUUGCACACGCGCUCUGUGGGUCAGUGCAGGCCAUCCACUCUUGGUGUGGGGUGACAUCUCUGAGGUUCUUAGGGGAGUGGCCAGAGAGGACCAGGGCACGGACCUAGCCCGUCCCUGGGGGUAUUCCGGCCGAGCCCCUGCUGGGUGUGUGGUCUUGAGCUUGUCGUGUGCUCUGCUCGUGUGCGUCUGUCAGGUGGGGAUGGCGGUGUGAGGCCAUGUGGGAUCAUGAGUGAGCACCUGUUAAGUGUUGGGGACGGGUCUAGGAGACAGGAUGGGGCCAGGGCCAGGGUGAGGGGCGGGGCAGGACAGGCCUGGGGACAGAGCAGGGGCCUGGGGCAGUGCCGCCUUGUGCUGUGUGCCCGCCCUGCUGUCCCUGGAUGUCAGCCUGGCGAUGUGUGCGCUCUGGGUUUCACCUUCUGUGCACCCUAGAGCUUCAGGACUGUGCCAAAGGGGGCCGUGGGGGGCCUGCUGGACCCCGGCUUUGGUCUGCUCCCCCUCCUUGCGGCUCCCACUGGUGCCCGCUGUGUGUGCCGGCCCUGGAGCUCCACUUCCUGCAGGGGCCGGCCGUUGUGUUCCACGGUCGCUCCAGGGUUCUUCUCUGUUGGGUUUUAUCACCACCGCUGAGCGCGGGGUUGGGUUUGGGUGUCUCUGCGAGGCCUCUUGAGGGACGCGCGCUUGGGGCUGCAUGUUUCCCCACCCCACGCACGUGUGUCCUGUUCAGCCUGUCUCGGGGUGUUGGUGCACCUCCAGCCUGUCCAGCUGUGGCGGGUUGCUCUCUGUUCUCUCCGUUUCUGAGAAAUGGACUUGUGGCAGGGGUGACCUGUCUCAGCCCCUGUCCGUC
Neofelis nebulosa (Clouded leopard) is the source of this 2423-nucleotide long non-coding RNA. RefSeq lists it as uncharacterized. Lineage: Eukaryota; Metazoa; Chordata; Mammalia; Carnivora; Felidae. The transcript is spliced from 2 exons. The record is from RefSeq and is a predicted model, not a curated record.